CGACCUUCCAUUGGGGAGUAGCCGCCCUGAUCUCACCGCGCCGCGCAAUGCGGCACCCGGAAGACAGGGGCGUACGUCAACAGACUUGACCAAAUGCCGACAUGGCAGGCGGUUAUGGCGUGCGCAGCCCAGGACCUUGUGUCCAGUGCCUGGCGAGACCGAUGACCAC
Molecule: small RNA, 169 nt
Filed under: Cupriavidus metallidurans
Lineage: Bacteria; Pseudomonadati; Pseudomonadota; Betaproteobacteria; Burkholderiales; Burkholderiaceae
Description: Manganese sequence
Rfam family: Manganese Mn2+ riboswitch aptamer (yybP-ykoY) (bases 9-151)
About the family: This RNA was originally discovered in E. coli during a large scale screen and was named SraF.
Source: RNAcentral